RNAcentral lists this long non-coding RNA (329 nucleotides) under Mytilus galloprovincialis (Mediterranean mussel). The record is from RNAcentral. Lineage: Eukaryota; Metazoa; Mollusca; Bivalvia; Mytilida; Mytilidae.
CUCUCUUGUAUGCUACUCGGAGUACACGGGAUAUAUGUAGUCCAAUAAUGUUAGAUCUGCAAAGCAGUUUUGACAAAUGUUUGUUCUUCCGUCAGCAAGAUUUGAACUUUCCGUCAGCAAGAUUUGAACUAUGCCCCUGACUUAGUCUGUACUACAGCAGCGUAUACAUCUCGACCAUCUAGGCUAGUUAAAGAAAAAUUGAGAAUGGAAAUGGGGAAUGUGUCAAAGAGACAACAACCCGAACAUAGAGCAGACAACAGCCGAAGGCCACCAAUGGGUCUUCAAUGCAGCGAGAAACUCCCGCACCCGGAGGAGUCCUACAACUGGCC